UGAAGGGCAGAGUCAGCCAAGACACAUCAAUACUCUAAAAAUAGAGAGCAACUUUUAUGGUCCUAUUAAAGUACUAAACAGAGUAUAAUAUUCAUGUCUAGCUACAAAUACAUGGGGCGGGCUAUGUUUAUUUCAUCAUUAUUUGCGAGGACCCAUUACUUUUCCAAAUAACCAAUAUCAUUUUGUUUACGGGGUAAUUUAAUGAUUAGAGAUGUAUUAGAAAUCCUUUUUCACUUUUGGCUAGUGAGAGACGCCAUUUUGAAUACCUUCACAAAGAUAUAAACCCUGGCUUAUCGGGUUAAGAAAUCGUGUAAAUAAUAGACCUAUUCUUUUUUCUAAAUGUAUUAUUUGGUUACAUAAAUAACGAUGUAAAAGCCACUUAAAGAUUACAUCCCCGGGUCCCAAAACAUUAUUUCAGUAAUAAAGGAUACAGAUAUGGUUCCUUUAAAUUACCCAUCAGUGCAAUUGCCUUUUUGUAAAAGUUUCGUAGCCCAUUAAAUGUUCACUUUGUUGCUUUUUAUCGAGGGGAAAAAAAAAGUGUUCUUUUUUUAUUUCUUUGUGCCAGCCUAUAGUAAUUUGAGCAUUAUCUGGUAAUUACUGCUCAUCCCCAUUAAUCUCUUUAAACAAAUUAUACUUCCACUAUCUGAACAGUACUUAAAAGGAAAACGCAGUAAAGAAAGAACACAACCCAUCGCAAGCAAUGUCAAAGAAAGGAUUAUGGUAAUGUUUAGUAAA
Long non-coding RNA from Spea bombifrons (plains spadefoot toad), 735 nucleotides. RefSeq lists it as uncharacterized. The transcript is spliced from 2 exons. The record is from RefSeq and is a predicted model, not a curated record. NCBI's taxonomy places the organism in Eukaryota, Metazoa, Chordata, Amphibia, Anura, Pelobatidae.